This 204-nucleotide unclassified non-coding RNA is filed under the name Hevea brasiliensis (rubber tree). The record is from RNAcentral. Lineage: Eukaryota; Viridiplantae; Streptophyta; Magnoliopsida; Malpighiales; Euphorbiaceae.
GCCACUUAAAAUCUUCACUUUCACAAACUUUAACUCAAUUUUACCCUUUGGCUGGAAGAAUGAAGUCCCAAUAUUCAAUUGAUUGCAAUGAUGAAGGAGCUUACUAUCAAGAAUCACAAGUGGAUGCUUCACUUCUAGACAUAAUCAAGAAUCCAAAGUCCAAUGAAUUAGUCCAACUCACACCUUACAAUUCAAAUGGCUCUU